GCCAGGCACGGUGGCACGUGCCUGUAGUCCCAGCUACUCGGGAGGCUGAGAUGGGAAGAUCGUUUGAGCCCAGGAGUUCUCGGCUGCAGUGCGCUAUGCCAAUCAGGUGUCCACACUAAGUUCAGCAUCAGUAUAGUGACUUCCUGGGGGUAGGGGACCACCAGGUUGCCUAAGGAGGGGUGAACCGGCCCAGGUUGGAAACAAAGCAAGUUAAAACUCCUGUGCUGAUCAGGAGGGGAUUCCACCUGUGAAUAGCCACUGCACUCCAGCCUGGGCAACAUAGCCAGACCCCAUCUAA
RNAcentral lists this signal recognition particle RNA (298 nucleotides) under Saimiri boliviensis boliviensis (Bolivian squirrel monkey). RNAcentral's name for it is "Metazoan signal recognition particle RNA (ENSSBOG00000004323.1)". It matches the Rfam family "Metazoan signal recognition particle RNA". Rfam says of the family: The signal recognition particle (SRP) is a universally conserved ribonucleoprotein. It is involved in the co-translational targeting of proteins to membranes. The eukaryotic SRP consists of a 300-nucleotide 7S RNA and six proteins: SRPs 72, 68, 54, 19, 14, and 9. The record is from RNAcentral. Lineage: Eukaryota; Metazoa; Chordata; Mammalia; Primates; Cebidae.